UCUCAGCUCUGAAGUCCAACCCCUCCCAUCUGGAACAUCUGUACCUGGGGCUACAACAACCUGCAGGAUUCAGGAGUGAAACAUCUGAGUGGUUUUCUGAAGAGUCCAGACUGCAUCCUGAAGACUCUGGGAUUGAUGGACUGCAGUUUGUCAGAGAUCAGCUGUGAUUCUCUGGUCUCAGCUCUGAAGUCCAACCCCUCCCAUCUGGAACAUCUGUACCUGAGAGGAAACAACCUGCAGGAUUCAGGAGUGAAACAUCUGAGUGGUUUUCUGGAGAGUCCAGACUGCAGCCUGCAGACUCUAAGAUGGGAGUGAUGCUGAUCAGGACGGUGUUUGUGCUGAGAGGAUGAAGUGUGUCCUGAUGAUCCAGAUGUUGAAGCAGCAGCAGCUGGUGUGUAGAGACUCUGACUGGACCAUGUUACUGCACUGUAAAACAUCAGGAAUUCAUUCAGUCAAAUCAACUCAUCUGUUCUAGUUUACUUUAGAGAAAUACAGGAGUUUAACUAAUUACUAAUUAUUUGAACUUAAAAUGUCUCAUUUUUCUUUUCAGACCACUUUAGAACUUAAAAACAUGAAUUUGUAGAACUUGAGGCAUUUUUUCUUCAAAUAUUGAGUUGAAUGAAUGAACAGCUCAGAGUUCACUCAACUCAUGAAAUUAAGUUCACAAGAAACAAAACAAACACAGAUUUCCCCGUUAAUGUUCACAUGAUACCAUGACUGUAAAAAAUGAUCAUUAUUUUACAACCAGUUCUGUUUGUUUUGUUCAAUUACAAACAAUAUCUAGUAAAAUCCCAGAAAAGUAUUAACUUCCAUGUUCAACUGUAAAUAAUGUCCACAUCAAUAGGGUUAGGUAUUUUAAUAAAUACUCAUUUGUUCUUUAACAACAUUUUUACUUUAUUUUAAUCAGCAACAAGUCAGAUUAUUUUACAGAUAUUUGUCCUCAUUUUAAAGACUAUUUAUGUUUAUUAAAGAUUGAAAAUGAGAAAUAUUUUCACACUUAAUUUACAUUUUUGCUGUGUUUUGUUAAAUUACAGAUAAUCUGGAAUAAAAUCACAGAAAAAAUGUUCAUUUAUUCAGAAUGUUUGCUGUAAAAAACUGUAGAAUUUAACUCUCACACUCUUGUUUAUUGAAUUUAAAUCAGCAAAAAAUAUCAUUUUUCCAGAAUCUGAAGGACAAACUAUGUAUAUGUAUACGAUAUAUAUUAAUUCUAUUAAAGGCAGAAAUGAUUCCAAAGCA
Acanthochromis polyacanthus (spiny chromis) is the source of this 1236-nucleotide long non-coding RNA. RefSeq lists it as uncharacterized. The transcript has 3 exons. NCBI's taxonomy places the organism in Eukaryota, Metazoa, Chordata, Actinopteri, Pomacentridae. The record is from RefSeq and is a predicted model, not a curated record.